Molecule: long non-coding RNA, 204 nt
Filed under: Bos taurus (domestic cattle)
Lineage: Eukaryota; Metazoa; Chordata; Mammalia; Artiodactyla; Bovidae
Description: long non-coding RNA NONBTAT018520
Source: RNAcentral
UGGUAAAACCCCUGAAAAAUGCAGCAAUUCAAGCAACCAGCCAAGCCAAGCAGUACAAAGGUUAGAAUAUGAGGAAGUCUUCUUCAUGAAUUCUUUAAGCAUGGAGGGAAACUUAGCCUGGAAUGCCCAUUGAGCCCUGGUGCCAGAUUAUGAAGAUAGCCUAGUUAUGCUCAAUAUGUCUGUUGACUGGUGUGUGUGUGUGUG